Molecule: long non-coding RNA, 712 nt
Organism: Aethina tumida (small hive beetle)
Lineage: Eukaryota; Metazoa; Arthropoda; Insecta; Coleoptera; Nitidulidae
Exons: 2
Source: RefSeq, a predicted model, not a curated record
CGUCAAAAUGUAAAUUACUUCUUCCGGCGCCAAAUAUUUAUUUAUUAAAUAAGAGGAGACUCCAAUGGCAAUCUAAAAAUAGCCUCUGCAGUUCCCUUAGCCUUGGCAUUUUUUUGGUGACCAUCCAUCUCGUCGAUUCAACGACACGCAUCCAUUAAAAAUUAAUUCCGAAAUGCCACAAAGGCAAAAGAAAGACGACCAACAAAUUGCCCGUCGUGGAACCGCAAGGGGAAAUCUGACCAGGCCUUCAAUUCUAACCUUGGAGCUUGAAUAAGAUGCGGUAGGAUGAUGCCAUGUUGCAACUUACACGUAAAUAUUUGGAUUUGGUUUACUGGAUGUGUUGGUUGGCAAGUUCACAAAGUCCAGAGGAAAUACCAGCAGAUGAAGCAAGUGAGAUUCUCGGAAACUGAGUCUAAAUAUGGUGUGAGGUUCCAUUAUGGUGAAUCACUUAGAUUCAUUGAUUAUUAUUUACGUUUUUACUUAAAAAAUGUUUUGAAGCAAUUAUAGAAUGGCGGCUUAAUUAAAUCGUUGGAAAGUUGCCUGUUAUCUGAUGAAUAUUCUCUUCUUACCGAAUAGGAGAUGUUCAAAAAACUUGUCUUUCUUUAUCUUGGUGUGACAUUCUAGAAGGUUAAUUUGUUUGUAUCAUAAAUUGUUUAUCUACAUACAAAAUUUCCCCAUAAAUACAACAAAUUAAAGUAAAUGUAAAGAGAAA